GGCCGCGGGAAUUGGAUUCAGGCCUAACACAUGCAAGUCGAACGGUAAGUAUUUUAGCAAUAAGAUACGAGAGUGACGUACGGGUGCGUAACACGUAUGCAACCUACCCUUUACAGGAGGAUAGCUCGGGGAAACUCGAAUUAACCCUCCAUAAUAUAAUUGGAUGGCAUCAUUUGAUUAUUAAAUUUUCGGAGGUAAAGGAUGGGCAUGCGUCUGAUUAGUUAGUUGGCGGGGUAACGGCCCACCAAGACGAUGAUCAGUAGGGGAACUGAGAGGUUGAUCCCCCACACUGGCACUGAGAUACGGGCCAGACUCCUACGGGAGGCAGCAGUAGGGAAUAUUGGUCAAUGGAUGGAAGUCUGAAAGAGCCAUGCCGCGUGCAGGAAGAAGGCCUUCUGGGUUAAAGGUGCUUUUGCCAGGGGAAAAAAACUCAUGCGGAGAAAUGAA
This 447-nucleotide ribosomal RNA is filed under the name uncultured bacterium. RNAcentral's name for it is "bacterial SSU rRNA". It matches the Rfam family "Bacterial small subunit ribosomal RNA", at positions 37 to 472 of the family's 1533-position model. The record is from RNAcentral.